GAUCCUGGCUCAGGACGAACGCUGGCGGCGCGCCUAACACAUGCAAGUCGAACGAGAGAUGAGGAGCUUGCUCUUCAAAUCGAGUGGCGAACGGGUGAGUAACGCGUGAGGAACCUGCUUCAAAGAGGGGGACAACAGUUGGAAACGACUGCUAAUACCGCAUAAGCCCACGGCUCGGCAUCGAGCAGAGGGAGAAGGAGUGAUCCGCUUUGAGAUGGCCUCGCGUCCGAUUAG
This 234-nucleotide ribosomal RNA is filed under the name uncultured bacterium. RNAcentral describes it as "partial 16S ribosomal RNA". It matches the Rfam family "Bacterial small subunit ribosomal RNA", at positions 15 to 244 of the family's 1533-position model. The record is from RNAcentral.